Molecule: ribosomal RNA, 405 nt
Filed under: uncultured bacterium
Lineage: Bacteria
Description: bacterial SSU rRNA
Rfam family: Bacterial small subunit ribosomal RNA
Source: RNAcentral
GACGAACGCUGGCGGCGCGCUUAACACAUGCAAGUCGAGCGAGAACCCAGGCUUCGGCCUGGGGGACAGCGGCGAACGGGUGAGUAACACGUGAGUAAUCUGCCCUCGACAUCGGGAUAGCCCGGGGAAACCCGGAUUAAUACCGAAUAGCCCAACAGCUUUUCGGAGCGGUUGGAAAAGGUAGCUUCGGCCUCCGGUCGAGGAGGAGCUCGCGGCGGAUUAGCUUGUUGGUGAGGUAACGGCNCACCAAGGCUUCGAUCCGUAGCUGGUCUGAGAGGACGAUCAGCCACACUGGGACUGAGACACGGCCCAGACUCCUACGGGAGGCAGCAGUGGGGAAUCUUGCGCAAUGGGCGAAAGCCUGACGCAGCGACGCCGCGUGAGGGAAGAAGGCCUGGUGUAACG